Molecule: ribosomal RNA, 227 nt
Filed under: uncultured bacterium
Lineage: Bacteria
Description: partial 16S ribosomal RNA
Rfam family: Bacterial small subunit ribosomal RNA
Source: RNAcentral
CUGAACCAGCCAAGUAGCGUGAAGGAUGACUGCCCUAUGGGUUGUAAACUUCUUUUAUAAAGGAAUAAAGUCGGGUAUGCAUACCCGUUUGCAUGUACUUUAUGAAUAAGGAUCGGCUAACUCCGUGCCAGCAGCCGCGGUAAUACGGAGGAUCCGAGCGUUAUCCGGAUUUAUUGGGUUUAAAGGGAGCGUAGGCGGACGCUUAAGUCAGUUGUGAAAGUUUGCGG